RNAcentral lists this transfer RNA (61 nucleotides) under Terebratalia transversa. Its description in RNAcentral is "tRNA-Asp". The record is from RNAcentral. Lineage: Eukaryota; Metazoa; Brachiopoda; Rhynchonellata; Terebratulida; Laqueidae.
AAGUGCUUAGUUAAUUUUAUAAUAUAAGGUUGUCAAUCUUAAGUUGCCUUGGUAGCAUUUU